GAGUUUGAUCUUGGCUCAGAUUGAACGCUGGCGGCAUGCUUUACACAUGCAAGUCGAACGGCAGCGCGGGGCAACCUGGCGGCGAGUGGCGAACGGGUGAGUAAUAUAUCGGAACGUACCCAAGAGUGGGGGAUAACGUAGCGAAAGUUACGCUAAUACCGCAUACGAUCUAAGGAUGAAAGUGGGGGAUCGCAAGACCUCAUGCUCCUGGAGCGGCCGAUAUCUGAUUAGCUAGUUGGUGAGGUAAAGGCUCACCAAGGCGACGAUCAGUAGCUGGUCUGAGAGGACGACCAGCCACACUGGAACUGAGACACGGUCCAGACUCCUACGGGAGGCAGCAGUGGGAAUUUUGGACAAUGGGCGCAAGCCUGAUCCAGCAAUGCCGCGUGAGUGAAGAAGGCCUCGGUUG
RNAcentral lists this ribosomal RNA (409 nucleotides) under uncultured microorganism. RNAcentral's name for it is "bacterial SSU rRNA". It matches the Rfam family "Bacterial small subunit ribosomal RNA", at positions 9 to 425 of the family's 1533-position model. The record is from RNAcentral.